RNAcentral lists this ribosomal RNA (527 nucleotides) under uncultured bacterium. RNAcentral's name for it is "bacterial SSU rRNA". It matches the Rfam family "Bacterial small subunit ribosomal RNA", at positions 355 to 895 of the family's 1533-position model. The record is from RNAcentral.
UGGGGAAUCUUGGACAAUGGGGGCAACCCUGAUCCAGCCAUGCCGCGUGAGUGAUGAAGGCCUUAGGGUCGUAAAGCUCUUUCGCCUGUGAAGAUAAUGACGGUAGCAGGUAAAGAAACCCCGGCUAACUCCGUGCCAGCAGCCGCGGUAAUACGGAGGGGGUUAGCGUUGUUCGGAAUUACUGGGCGUAAAGCGCACGUAGGCGGACCAGAAAGUUGGGGGUGAAAUCCCGGGGGCUCAACCCCGGAACUGCCUCCAAAACUAUUGGUCUAGAGUUCGAGAGAGGUGAGUGGAAUUCCAAGUGUAGAGGUGAAAUUCGUAGAUAUUUGGAGGAACACCAGUGGCGAAGGCGGCUCACUGGCUCGAUACUGACGCUGAGGUGCGAAAAGUGUGGGGAGCAAAACAGGAUUAGAUACCCUGGUAGUCCACACCGUAAAACGAUGAAUGCCAGUCGUCGGGGUAGCAUGCUAUUCGGUGACACACCUAACGGAUUAAGCAUUCCGCCUGGGGAGUACGGUCGCAAGAUU